Molecule: long non-coding RNA, 2417 nt
Filed under: Mytilus galloprovincialis (Mediterranean mussel)
Lineage: Eukaryota; Metazoa; Mollusca; Bivalvia; Mytilida; Mytilidae
Source: RNAcentral
CUUUUAAUGGGUGUAAUAUUUUCUGGAUGCAACAAUAUGUUUUAAACUCUAACAAAACAUGAUCAAGGUUUCAGUGGCGUAGCAGACUAAGGGUAGCAUUGUAAGCAAAUCAUUUUACAAAACACUUUUUUUAAUAAAAUGUUUAAUAAUAGUUCAGCUUAUGCGCUGACAUCUACCUUUCCAGACCCCUUGCUUACAUUUGCUUAUGGUUUGAAAAAAAUUAUUUUGAUGUGAAAUUAACAAUUUUAUCACUUCCCUUUUACAACAACAAACUAGAGGCUCUAAAGAGCCUGUGUCGCUCACCUUGGUCUAUGUGACUAUUAAACAAAGGAAGCAGAUGGAUUCAUGACAAAAUUGUAUUUUGGUGAUGGUGAUGUGUUUGUACAUCUUACUUUACUGAACAUCCUUGCUGCUUACAAUUAUCUCUAUCUAUAAUGAACUUGGCCCAGUAGUUUCAGUGGAAAAUGUUAGUAAAAAUUUACAAAUUUUAUAAAAAUUGUUGAAAAUUGACUAUAAAGGACAAUAACUCCUUAGGGGGUCAACUGACCAUUUCGUUCAUGUUGACUUAUUUGUAAAUCUUACUUUGCUGAACAUUAUUGCUGUAUACAGUUUAUCUCUAUCUAUAAUAUAUAUUCAAGACAAUAACCAAAAACAGCAAAAUUUCCUUAAAAUUACCAAUUCAGGGGCAGCAACCCAACAACGGGUUGUCCGAUUCAUCUGGGCAGAUAGAUCUUGACCUGAUAAAUAGUUUAACCCCAUGUCAGAUUUGCUCUUAAUGCUUUGGUUUUUGAGUUAUAAGCCAAAAACUGCAUUUUACCCCUAUGUUCUAUUUUUAGCCAUGGUGGCCAUCUUGGUUGAGUGGCCAGGUCAUCGGACACAUUUUUUUAAACUAGAUACCCCAAAGAUGAUUGUGGAUAAGUUUGGAUUAAUUUAGCCCAGUAGUUUCAGAGGAGAAGAUUUUUGUAAAAGAUUACUAAGAUUUACGAAAAAUGGUUAAAAAUUGACUAUAAAGAGCAAUAACUCCUAAAGGGGUCAACUGACCAUUUCGGUCAUGUUGACUUAUUUGUAAAUCUUACUUUGUUGAACAUAAUGGCUGUUUACAGUUUAUCUCUAUCUAUAAUAAUAUACAAGAUAAUAACCAAAAACAGCAAAAUUUCCUUAAAAUUACCAAUUCAGGGGCAGCAACCCAACAACAGGUUGUCAGAUUCAUCUGAAAAUUUCAGGGUAGAUAGAUCUUGACCUGAUAAACAAUUUUACCUAGUCAGAUUUGCUCUAAAUGCUUUGGUUUUUAAGUUAUAAGCCAAAAACUGCAUUUUACCCCUAUGUUCUAUUUUUAGCUGUGGCGGCCAUCUUGGUUGGUUGGCCGGGUCACCGGACACAUUUUUUAAACAAAAUACUCCAAAGAUAAUUGUGGCCAAGUUUGGAUAAAUUUGGCCCAGUAGUUUCAGAGGAGAAGAUUUUUGUAAAAGAUUACUAAGAUUUACGAAAAAUGGUUAAAAAUUGACUAUAAAGGGCAAUAACUCCUAAAGUGGUCAAUUGACCAUUUCGGUCAUGUUGACUUAUUUGCAAAUCUUACUUUGAUGAACAUUAUUGCUGUUUACAGUUUAUCUCUAUCUAUAAUAAUAUUCAAGAUAAUAAGCAAAAACUGCAAAAUUUCCAUAAAAUAACUAAUUCAGGGGCAGCAACCCAACAACGGGUUGUCCGAUUUGUCUGAAAAUUUCAGGGCAGAUAGAUCUUGACCUGAUAAACAGUUUUACCCCAUGUCAGAUUUGCUCUAGAUGCUUUGGUUUUUGAGUUAUAAGCCAAAAACUGCAUUUUACCCCUAUGUUCUAUUUUUAGCCAUGGCGGCCAUCUUGGUUGGUUGGCCGGGUCACCGGACACAAUUUUUAAACUAGAUACCCCAAUGAUGAUUGUGACCAAGUUUGGUUGAAAUUAGCCCAGUAGUUUCAGAGGAGAAGAUUUUUGUAAAAGUUAACGACGGACGACGACGACGACGGACGACGGACGACGACGACGGACGCCGGACGCCAAGUGAUGAGAAAAGCUCACUUGGCCCUUCGGGCCAGGUGAGCUAAAAAGGGGAGGGUAGAAUUUUUUCCAGGAAUCCAUAUACAAACUAGGGCAUUUUUCAAAAGUCCUACAAUCUUUACUAAAACAAAAUUAUUACAGUAAGUAUAUUCUCAACAUCUUAACGUACUUAGCAAUAUUUUCGAAACCGCAAUAUAUCUCAUUGAAUAUAUAAGAAAAAUUCAAAAAAAUAAUUUGAUACGAGUAAGGUAUCAUAAAUACCUUAUAUGAUCUUAUAUAAAUUUCGAAUUCCAUUGGGUGUAGCAAUGGGGACUUCUGACUGCCGUAACAGUGAUUCCAUAAACAAUCAACUUAUUGUUUCAACAAAAUGGAGGUCCAUGUCCACACCC